Molecule: ribosomal RNA, 397 nt
Filed under: uncultured bacterium
Lineage: Bacteria
Description: bacterial SSU rRNA
Rfam family: Bacterial small subunit ribosomal RNA
Source: RNAcentral
GACGAACGCUGGCGGCGUGCCUAACACAUGCAAGUCGAGCGGGAAUUUACAAAUUGAUUCCUUCGGGAUGAUUUUUGUAAAGGAUAGCGGCGGACGGGUGAGUAACGCGUGAGUAACCUGCCCUUAAGAGGGGGAUAACACACCGAAAGGUGUGCUAAUACCGCAUAAUAUGUAUUUGCCGCAUGGCAGAUAUAUCAAAGAUUUAUCGCUUAAGGAUGGACUCGCGUCUGAUUAGAUAGUUGGUGAGGUAACGGCUCACCAAGUCGACGAUCAGUAGCCGACCUGAGAGGGUGACCGGCCACAUUGGGACUGAGACACGGCCCAGACUCCUACGGGAGGCAGCAGUGGGGAAUAUUGGGCAAUGGGCGAAGCCUGACCCAGCAACGCCGCGUGAAGG